This 445-nucleotide ribosomal RNA is filed under the name uncultured bacterium. Its description in RNAcentral is "partial 16S ribosomal RNA". It matches the Rfam family "Bacterial small subunit ribosomal RNA", at positions 354 to 796 of the family's 1533-position model. The record is from RNAcentral.
GUGAGGAAUAUUGGUCAAUGGACGGAAGUCUGAACCAGCCAUGCCGCGUGCAGGAAUAAGGUCCUAUGGAUUGUAAACUGCUUUUAUUCGGGAAUAAACCUCUUUACGUGUAGGGAGCUGAAGGUACCGAAGGAAUAAGCACCGGCUAACUCCGUGCCAGCAGCCGCGGUAAUACGGAGGGUGCAAGCGUUAUCCGGAAUCAUUGGGUUUAAAGGGUCCGCAGGCGGGCUAUCAAGUCAGAGGUGAAAUCCCACAGCUUAACUGUGGAACUGCCUUUGAAACUGAUGGUCUUGAAUUAAGUGGGCGUUGGCGGAAUAUGACAUGUAGCGGUGAAAUGCUUAGAUAUGGCACAGAACACCAAUUGCGAAGGCAGCUCACUAAGGCGAUACUGACGCUGAGGCACGAAAGCGUGGGGAUCGAACAGGAUUAGAAACCCGAGUAGUCC